CUUACAAUCACAAUAUAUUGACUUAAUAUCUCAAAGAAUUGGCUCAGGAUCUCAAUAUAUUGACUUAAUAACUCAGAAUAUUGACUAAGA
This is a long non-coding RNA of Etheostoma cragini (Arkansas darter), 90 nucleotides long. RefSeq lists it as uncharacterized. The record is from RefSeq and is a predicted model, not a curated record. Lineage: Eukaryota; Metazoa; Chordata; Actinopteri; Perciformes; Percidae. The transcript is spliced from 3 exons.